This is a non-coding RNA of Pantherophis guttatus, 1915 nucleotides long. Lineage: Eukaryota; Metazoa; Chordata; Lepidosauria; Squamata; Colubridae. The record is from RefSeq and is a predicted model, not a curated record.
CUCCUUGGCUGUCACCUUGGCUGCGGAGUUGCUGCAGGGCACGAUGCCGCCGCCGCCGCUUUAGCUGCCUGCCAGCGCUGUGGGUGGAAAUAACGGUAGGAACUUUAUUAGGAGCAACUUUCUCUGUCCCGCUUCUUGGGAAAAGAGGAAAGGAAAGGAAAGGAAAGGAAAGGAAAGGAAAGAAGGAAAGGAAAAGAAAGGAAAAGAAAGGAAAGGAAAAGAAAGGAAAGGAGGAAAGGAAAGGAAAGGAUUAAAAGUGUGGUUUUGCCUCCAAUCUGAGUCUUUAAUUGCAUCAGGAUUCAACCUUAGAAGGUGGCCCAGGAAAAGACAAGGUGGAUCCUUGAGUCUUGGCCCUAUCCCGAACCCAUGAACUUGGGUGGUAAGAGUUCUGGGCAACUUAAGGAUAUCAAGGCAGAGAAGUGGCUUGGGGAGUGCAAAGAUUACUUCGUUCAUGUCCUGGUCCUGACUCAAGAGCACUCCUCCAACAAGACCCAGGAGGAAGCAUUUUUGAGCUGAGGGGACCCAGUGAGAUGCUGGGCAAUCCUAUCAUUUAUGUCCUGCCCUGGACUCCGUUGACUCUAUCCCAAACCAGGAACCUUCUCAGCUAGUCUUCAAUAACACCUUCUUGAGAAUAUCAGGAGAGAAGUUGGACAAGAUUAGGCCCAGCUGCACACAACUAUUAGUAUUUACGGAUGUAAAUACUUAAUCUGGGCUUGGUAUAAAACCACUGGAAUAUUGCUAUUCUAUGAAAGAAUUCAUGGAUAGAAUUCUCCGCCAUAAAAACAUGUCUGCAUUUGAUUUGACACAUCUUCUGACAUAACUUGUCUGCUCUUUCCGAUGCUGCCAUUUUGAUAUAGCUGUCCUAUUCUUCAAGCUGAAGCUGAGGCUCAAAUAGUUUGGCCACCAAAUGAGAAGAGAGGACUUGCUGGAAAAGACCCUGAUAUUGGGACAGAUUGAAGCAUUCUUCUUGUAUUAUGGCACCCCGAAUUGGAUUCAAUAUGCCAGAUGAGGUCUGUCCAGGGCAGCAUACAAGCAAAACUUUACUUCCUGUGAAAUUGACAGAUGUCUAUUGAUGCAGACCAAGAUUGCAUUGGCUUUUUUGACAGCAGCAACACACUGUUGACCCAUGUCCAUUCGGUUAUCUAUCAGGACACCCAGGUUCUUCUUAGAAGUACUACUGUUGAUCCAGGUUCCAUCUACAUUGUACCUCUAUAUGUAUAGAAGUCUACAUUGCUUGCAAUUUUGUUGGAAAAGAGCCAAAGUCUAUCAAGAUCUUUUUGACAUUGAGCCUGUUUCCUGAAGUGUUAGCAAUCUUUUCCAUCCCCAACAAGCUUCACAUCAUCUACAAAAUUGCUGAGCAUCCCCUUUAUCCUUUUUUUAAAAAAAUGUUGAUAAAUACUGUGCCAGGACAGAAUCCUGAUGCAUAUUUCUUUUCAUGGAGACAUACUGGUACAUUCAUUGAGGACCAUAAAUUGGCUAUGGUUAUUCAACAAUCCAUUUGGUAGUGGCAACAUCACACUGUUCUAUUUAAUCAACAUAAAACUUGUUUUUUAACACAGUCAUACUGGUUUCUAAUAAUCACUUUCUUCCUUAUACACUCACUGCUUGAUUAUCUUUUCUAGCAUUUUCUCAGGUAUUGAUGCCAAAACUAACUCAAAGGCACACCACAGAAAUGGGCAUAUCAGUCCACAGGUUAUUAGUUCCUUAUUUUUAUUGUACUGGGUAUGUUUUAAAUUGUAUGCCAUCCAGAGUCCAUCCAUCCACUAGAUAUAAUAAAAAGAUAUUAUGAUUUGUUACCUUGUGGUUUUCUGCAUUCUCCAUGGCAAAAUAUGAUGGCAUUCCAGUGACAAGAACUCCUAGUAAGACAGCUUCAAAAUACAGCACAAUAGUGAAAACUGUGUCAGUGAUUUCCUGA